This 301-nucleotide ribosomal RNA is filed under the name uncultured bacterium. Its description in RNAcentral is "partial 16S ribosomal RNA". It matches the Rfam family "Bacterial small subunit ribosomal RNA", at positions 509 to 807 of the family's 1533-position model. The record is from RNAcentral.
CAGCCGCCGCGGUAAUACAGAGGGUGCGAGCGUUAAUCGGAUUUACUGGGCGUAAAGCGUGCGUAGGCGGCUUCUUAAGUCGGAUGUGAAAUCCCUGAGCUUAACUUAGGAAUUGCAUUCGAUACUGGGAAGCUAGAGUAUGGGAGAGGAUGGUAGAAUUCCAGGUGUAGCGGUGAAAUGCGUAGAGAUCUGGAGGAAUACCGAUGGCGAAGGCAGCCAUCUGGCCUAACACUGACGCUGAGGUACGAAAGCAUGGGGAGCAAACAGGAUUAGAUACCCCUGUAGUCCCUGUCUCUUAUAC